CUAGCUGUAAACGAUGUAGACUUGGUGUCGGUGGGGUAAAAGCCAUCGGUGCCGAAGCUAACGCGAUAAGUCUACCGCCUGGGGACUACGGCCGCAAGGUUAAAACUCAAAGGAAUUGACGGGGGCCCGCACAAGCAGCGGAGCGUGUGGUUUAAUUCGAUGCUACGCGAAGAACCUUACCCGGGUUUGACAUACAGGUGGUAGGGAAUUGAAAGAGGACCGACCCUUCGGGGAGCCUGAACAGGUGCUGCAUGGCUGUCGUCAGCUCGUGUCGUGAGGUGUCCGGUUAAGUCCGGUAACGAGCGCAACCCCUGCCGUAUGUUACAAGUGUCAUACGGGACUGCCGGUAUCAAGCCG
RNAcentral lists this ribosomal RNA (357 nucleotides) under uncultured bacterium. RNAcentral describes it as "bacterial SSU rRNA". It matches the Rfam family "Bacterial small subunit ribosomal RNA", at positions 796 to 1165 of the family's 1533-position model. The record is from RNAcentral.